This is an RNA transcript of Herpailurus yagouaroundi (jaguarundi), 4418 nucleotides long. It is a transcript of the gene named mitochondrial elongation factor 2, with no coding region annotated. Lineage: Eukaryota; Metazoa; Chordata; Mammalia; Carnivora; Felidae. The record is from RefSeq and is a predicted model, not a curated record. The transcript is spliced from 4 exons.
GCGCUCCGAUUGGACGCAGGGCUUGCUUGUCUGCAAGCGUUGGAGGUCAGCGGCAGUCCCCGGGGCCUCGGUGUUCGGUCCCCGGGUCCUCCAAGUUCCAUUCCCAGGCGGGUCCGGGCUCAGGGGCCCGAGCAGACUCGCUGUGUCCUCCGGUCGCUGUGCUGAAGCCGCGACGCACGUACAGCCGGAGUGUGACGGGGCGGCCCCGGUCACCCAGUCCUGGGCGUGGAGCGUGCGUCGGACGCAGGUCGGGGGCGUGGUCUCCGCCGGGGCCCCUGGUCAAGGACCGGGAACGAGGGAAGGGCUUUGGGCCCCAGGCUGGGGUUCGAAUGUCGACUCCGCCCCAUCACGUCUAGCGUACCGCUCAGCAUUUCUCAGGGCCUGGGUGCCAUCCCGGUGAAAGGGGCCCUGGCAGGCCCACUAGGGUCUGCUGCGCGGCCCGCUCAGCCCCUGCCCUGGGUAGCAGGUGUGGCGGAGGAAGGGCAAGACGCGAGGCAUCUCAGAGCGCUGUGGGGCCCGGAAGCCCAGAGUCCGGUUAUUUUUAACCACCCGCGCCCCCUCCCCCUUCGGGGAGUUGGAAGGCUUCUGUCUGGGGCCUGUGCGACCCCGCCAAGGAUUGCUCCGAGUCCACUUUAGAUAGGAGGUAUUUAAAGCGCUUUACAGUUUGUGAGUUGAUUCUUGGUUCCUCUGGAAACGGGUGACAAUAUUGAUCACCGAUAAGGAGACUAAAAAUGGCUUCGGGGCCUUGGUGGGUCAUCACCCUAGCCUUUGACCAACCCAGGCCCCAGAGCCCUCUUGUCCUAUUUUUAGUCUGGCCAAAUUGGGGGAGGUGUUGGGGCUGAGUCUCGCAGUGAUUCAGGCUUUAGCUGCUCUAGGCAUCUGGUCACCUGGCAACUGAGCCGUGGGCACCCACAGCUGAGCAGGGAGGGCAGAAGUCCUUGGUGCCCAAGAUGGCUCUGGGCCCAUUGGUCAUCUGCUCAGGCAUCUGCACAGAAGACGGUUCUGCCUGGUCAGGUACUGCCUGGUAUGUGAGCCUGUGCUUUGGUCACACACCCCCUCAGCUCUCAGGGCCUGAGGGCAGGAUUUCCCCUGGAAGAACCUGAGGCUGGAGCUUGGUGGCCUGGGUCUGGGAAGGAUCUCUGCCUCUGCUUCCCAAGUGCCCGGCUCUAACCCACGCUACCGUUCUGGGCUCCUCGCUUGUGAAUCCUUCCUCACCACUGCCUGUGCCAUUUUACAGGUGAACAAAGCUGGGGCUUCGGACCCUCCUCUCUCUCUGUUGCUUGGGCUCCCAGCCUCUGAGGACAACGGCCACCGCCUCCCCCCACCCCCCGUUAUUAUUCUAAACCUGAGGGGCCCAGAGAUGCACUGAGCCAGUUCUGUUUGGGGUCUUUAGAGAAACCUUGCUUGCUUGUCCCCACAACUGGGUCUUCAACCUUGACUGGCACCUACCUGUUGAUGAGUGUCUCCUGCCCUCCCUGGGCGUCCUGGGCCAUCUCAUUCCUCCCAUCCUUUGAGUUGAUACCUCUAUUACCCUGUUGAGAUCUGGGGAGGGGGGUAACUGAGGCCCCCUGAGCUUCACUGAGGUUCCCUCAAAGGCCUGAGGGGCCCUCCAGAGCAGCCUGCCUGGGACCCCAGCUGUGUCUUUAGGCCUCAGUUUUCUCCUGCUCUGCCCAGCCCUUGUUAAGAACCAGGAUGAAGCAGCCUCUAGGACCUGGCCAUAGGCCCCUGGAGACCGAUUGGACACUGGGGGUGGGCAGGAGUCAGGAAGCUUUGCAGUCGUGGGUCCGGGUCCACACCGCUCCCUGUGUGGUCUGGCAGCCUGUUUCUCUCUAAGAUGGCAGUCGUGAUGAUAAGACCCACCUCACGGUCUGAGGUGAUGCAGGGGGUCCUUGAGGGUGGGAUGGAGAAGACGGGCCUCCUUCUCUGACCUGCUACAAGUUUCAGGCCUAUGUGACCUUCCCUGUCCAGAGGAUGGGUGAGCUGUUUGCAGGUUUGGGCAGCUCCCCAUCUCCUCCCAAGAAACCCUUUCUCCUGAGAAGUUCCCAGGAUCGCCUCUCAUGGGCUCUACUGUCAGCGACCCCAGCAGGAUGGGGUCUGUCCCACUGCCAGCCUGGCUGCCCCCAUCUAGCUAUCCCUGCACCCUGCUCUUUUACAGGCAGACAGACCAUGGCAGAGUUCUCCCAGAAACGGGGGAGGCAGCGUGACGAGGUCCUGGGCAGUACUGUGGAUUUCCUCCUGGCCAAUGCCCGCCUGGUGCUGGGCGUCGGUGGGGCCGCUGUGCUGGGAAUUGCUACCUUGGCUGUGAAGCGGCUCAUCGACAGGGCCACCAGCCCUCGAGACGAGGAUGAUGCCAAAGGGGACACCACAUGCCUGGAGGAGAGCUGGAAGGAACUGACCCUACUCAAGACCACACCAUGCCUGCAGCCCCGGACCCCACCUGCUGCCCUCAGCCAGCCAGCAUCGCUCCCCGCCCCCUUGCCAUCUGCCCCCGAGGGGCCCUCAGACACCGAGCCUCAGCCGUUGCCUCAGCCGAGCUCCCCAGCACCGCUGUGCCUGACGUUUCAGGAGAAGCUGCUGGCGUUCGAGCGGGACCACGUGACCAUCCCAGAGGCCCACGUGGCUCUGGCCAAGCAGCUGGCCGGUGACAUCGCCCUUGAGCUGCAGGCCUACUUGCGGAACAAAUUCCCAGAACUGCCCUUCGGGGCCCUUGUGCCCGGCGGGCCGCUCUAUGACGGGCUCCAGGGGGGGGCCGCCAGCCGCGUGCGCCUCCUGGUUCCCCUGGUGCUGGAGGUGGGCCUGUGGGGCCUGGUGCCCGGCGUGGACACCGUGGCCAGGGACCCUCGCUGCUGGGCCGUGCGCAGGACUCAGCUUGAGUUCCGUCCCCGCGGGAGCAGCCCCUGGGACCGCUUCCUGGUGGGCGGCUACCUCUCUUCCCGGGUCCUGCUGGAGCUGCUCCGCAAGGCCCUGGCCUCCUCCGUCAACUGGCCGGCCAUCGGUGGCCUCCUCGGGUGCCUGAUCCGGCCCAGCGUAGCCUCGGAGGAGCUGCUGCUCGACGUGCAGCAUGAGCGCCUCGAGUUCACCGUCGCCGUGCUCCUGGCGGUCACUGGUGCCGACGCCGAAGACCGCCUCCUUCUGGCCUGGCCCCUGGAGGGGCUGGCCGGGAACCUCUGGCUGCAGGACCUGUACCCUGCAGAGGCCGCCAGGCUGCGGGCCCUGGACGAGCGUGAUGCCGGGACCCGCCGACGGCUGCUGCGGCUGCUGUGCGGGGUCUGCCGCGGCCACCCGGCCCUGGGGCGGCUGGACUGCUGCCAUCUGACCCAGGUGGUUCUGCGCCUGGGGGAGGAGGAGGUGGACUGGGCCGAGGCGGCCCUGGGGGAGCGCUUCCUGCAGGCCCUGGAGUCGCUCAUCGACAGCCUGGAGCGGGCCAGCCUGCCCUGCCACUUCAACCCCGGCGUGAACCUCUUGAGCGGCCUGCGUGAGGAGGAGAUUGACGACAUCGGCUUCGCGCUCUACAGCGGCCUGCAGGCCCCCGAGUGUCUGCUCUAGAUGGGUGGGGACAGGGCGGCCGGCACUCGUGCUGAUGCUGGUGAGCUGUGUGCGCCUCCCCUCCAGGAAUUUGGAGAGCACUUUUUCUCUUGCUUUAGCCAGAAUAGAGGAGGGUGCUCUAAGUCCGCGGGGUUAGCAUGUCCCGGGCAGCAGUCCGGGGAGCCCCAAGCCCGGGCCUCUGGGGCAGCCUGCCUCUCCCGCCCCUCGGGCCGACCCUAGGACCUUGGGCUCGGUCCGUCGUCACCAGCAGUGAACGCACUGACAGAACACGGCUUCUGCUGUCCUAGGCAGGGGAUAAAGGCAGCUCCGUUUUUCUGUCGAGAGGGGGCCGGAGUCACCUGGUACCCCCGGAUUGCAGCUUUGGGGCUGAUUUAAAGGCCGCGUCUCCCGACGUCACCUGCGUGUCUAGUUGGCUUGUCGAGCUCUCCCCUCUAGCCUGGAACAGGAGCUCAGUCUGGCGUGCUGCCCACCUCGUACCUCAGGGGAAGGCCCCUCUCCCUCCAACCGGGCCAUUUUUCUCUUUGGGCAGAGAGGCCCCUGGGAGAGCCCCCUUCCGCUGCUGGGGGAGCCAAGGUUCCCUGUGCUGCCCACCUUGCCUAGAGGCAGGGCUGUCCGACCAGCUGCUGCUGGGUCUGGCCGGAGAGCGGAGGCCGUGCCUUCCCAGGGAAGCCGGCUGAGCGGGCCUGACCUCCACAGUGCCAACCUGAACUGCUCCCCGCUGACGCCUGUGUCCUCACUGAAGCCUGGCAGAGGUGGGGAGGGAGGGCCGCCCCACCUCCCAGGCAUCCCUCCCGUCUUUGGUAUCCUUCUUGCUGAAGCAAAGCUAUGCCUCAAAGAAUGUGAAUGACAAUAAAAGGAAAAAUUCAAACGUC